RNAcentral lists this ribosomal RNA (737 nucleotides) under uncultured Actinomycetales bacterium. RNAcentral describes it as "bacterial SSU rRNA". It matches the Rfam family "Bacterial small subunit ribosomal RNA", at positions 25 to 773 of the family's 1533-position model. The record is from RNAcentral. Lineage: Bacteria; Bacillati; Actinomycetota; Actinomycetes; Actinomycetales.
CAGGACGAACGCUGGCGGCGUGCUUAACACAUGCAAGUCGAACGAUGACGCCCGUGCUUGCACGGGUUGAUUAGUGGCGAACGGGUGAGUAACACGUGAGUAACCUGCCCUCCACUUCGGGAUAACCUCGGGAAAUCGGGGCUAAUACCGGAUAUGACUGCGCAUCGCAUGGUGUGUGGUGGAAAGAUUUAUCGGUGGUGGAUGGACUCGCGGCCUAUCAGUUUGUUGGUGAGGUGAUGGCUCACCAAGGCGAUGACGGGUAGCCGGCCUGAGAGGGCGACCGGCCACACUGGGACUGAGACACGGCCCAGACUCCUACGGGAGGCAGCAGUGGGGAAUAUUGCACAAUGGGCGGAAGCCUGAUGCAGCGACGCCGCGUGAGGGAUGACGGCCUUCGGGUUGUAAACCUCUUUCAGUAGGGAAGAAGCGAGAGUGACGGUACCUGCAGAAGAAGCGCCGGCUAACUACGUGCCAGCAGCCGCGGUAAUACGUAAGGCGCAAGCGUUGUCCGGAAUUAUUGGGCGUAAAGAGCUUGUAGGUGGCUUGUCGCGUCUGCCGUGAAAACCCGAGGCUUAACCUCGGGCGUGCGGUGGGUACGGGCAGGCUAGAGUGUGGUAGGGGAGACUGGAACUCCUGGUGUAGCGGUGAAAUGCGCAGAUAUCAGGAAGAACACCGAUGGCGAAGGCAGGUCUCUGGGCCAUUACUGACACUGAGAAGCGAAAGCAUGGGGAGCGAAC